Molecule: non-coding RNA, 77 nt
Organism: Mycena polygramma
Lineage: Eukaryota; Fungi; Basidiomycota; Agaricomycetes; Agaricales; Mycenaceae
Source: the annotation of a GenBank genome assembly
UGCCCAGUAGCACAGUGGGUAAGUGCGCCUGAUGCUGUUAAUUCUUCGGGACCCUUGUUCGAUUCAAGGCUGGGCCC